RNAcentral lists this transfer RNA (58 nucleotides) under Camelus bactrianus (Bactrian camel). It matches the Rfam family "tRNA", at positions 10 to 63 of the family's 71-position model. From Rfam's summary of the family: Transfer RNA (tRNA) molecules are approximately 80 nucleotides in length. Their secondary structure includes four short double-helical elements and three loops (D, anti-codon, and T loops). Further hydrogen bonds mediate the characteristic L-shaped molecular structure. tRNAs have two regions of fundamental functional importance: the anti-codon, which is responsible for specific mRNA codon recognition, and the 3' end, to which the tRNAs corresponding amino acid is attached (by aminoacyl-tRNA synthetases). tRNAs cope with the degeneracy of the genetic code in two manners: having more than one tRNA (with a specific anti-codon) for a particular amino acid; and 'wobble' base-pairing, i.e. permitting non-standard base-pairing at the 3rd anti-codon position. The record is from Rfam by way of RNAcentral. RNAcentral also lists the same sequence under 2 other names. Lineage: Eukaryota; Metazoa; Chordata; Mammalia; Artiodactyla; Camelidae.
GCUCAGUGGUAGAGCACGUGCUUAUUAGCAUGCAUGAGGUCCUGGGUUCAAUCCCCAG